UAUGGUUUUCUCUAGCAGUGUUUCUCAUAUAAAUUGUAUUCAAAUUAUUCAUUCUGAGUCAACUUAAAGUAAUAUUAACGGACUUUUAUCCCAAUUCUAUUAGAUAGCCAUGGUUUCCUUGCGCUGUCUCCAAAAAACAAUGGUUUCCAUUGCCAUGUGAAAAUUUCCUUGCUUGGACCUUGGGUUUCAUGCAAAUAAUGAGGUACUAAAAGGAAAUGGUUACAAUUACAUGUGCAAAGAUAAGGCCAUGGGGGCAGAAUUAUCAUACAUGAAAAUGCUCAAGCAGGAGUUCCUGUGCAUUGCCGUGAAUGCACCAUAUUGUGUGUCAUAGUUAUUAAAGGCGCACCUCUGACAUGCCUCAGGCUCAAGGCUCAUAAGGCUCGAACCCUAGCGCCUUAUGUGCCUAGGUGUGCGCCUUUGUUCCUAACACAAGAUUCUGGAAAGGCAUGCCUUCUUUAUUUCCAUCUUUAGCGAGCAC
RNAcentral lists this unclassified non-coding RNA (478 nucleotides) under Hevea brasiliensis (rubber tree). The record is from RNAcentral. Lineage: Eukaryota; Viridiplantae; Streptophyta; Magnoliopsida; Malpighiales; Euphorbiaceae.